AACGAACGCUGGCGGCAGGCUUAACACAUGCAAGUCGAACGCGAAAUCACCUUCGGGUGGUGGAGAGUGGCAGACGGUGAGUAACGCGUGGGAAUCUACCUGAUGGUACGGAAUAACUCAGGGAAACUUGAGCUAAUACCGGAUGUGCCCGAGAGGGGAAAGAUUUAUCGCCAUCAGAUGAGCCCGCGUCGGAUUAGCUAGUUGGUGGGGUAAAAGCCCACCAAGGCGACGAUCCGUAGCUGGUCUGAGAGGAUGAUCAGCCACACUGGGACUGAGACACGGCCCAGACUCCUACGGGAGGCAGCAGUGGGGAAUAUUGGACAAUGGGCGCAAGCCUGAUCCAGCCAUGCCGCGUGAGUGAUGAAGGCCCUAGGGUUGUAAAGCUCUUUCGACGGGGACGAUAAUGACGGUACCCGUAGAAGAAGCCCCGGCUAACUUCGUGCCAGCAGCCGCGGUAAU
Molecule: ribosomal RNA, 459 nt
Filed under: uncultured bacterium
Lineage: Bacteria
Description: bacterial SSU rRNA
Rfam family: Bacterial small subunit ribosomal RNA
Source: RNAcentral